RNAcentral lists this small RNA (740 nucleotides) under Curvularia tuberculata. RNAcentral's name for it is "eukaryotic LSU rRNA". The stretch from base 1 to 178 matches the Rfam family "Eukaryotic small subunit ribosomal RNA", at positions 1656 to 1831 of the family's 1831-position model. The record is from RNAcentral. Lineage: Eukaryota; Fungi; Ascomycota; Dothideomycetes; Pleosporales; Pleosporaceae.
CCCUUUGUACACACCGCCCGUCGCUACUACCGAUUGAAUGGCUCAGUGAGGCGUUCGGACUGGCUCGGGGAGGUUGGCAACGACCACCCCAAGCCGGAAAGUUCGUCAAACUCGGUCAUUUAGAGGAAGUAAAAGUCGUAACAAGGUCUCCGUAGGUGAACCUGCGGAGGGAUCAUUACACAAAAAAAUAUGAAGGCUGACUGCAGCUGACCUACAUGGCCAGUUUGCUCGAGGCUGAAUUAUUUUUUCACCCAUGUCUUUUGCGCACUUGUUGUUUCCUGGGCGGGUUCGCCCGCCACCAGGACCACACCAUAAACCUUUUUAUCUGUAGUUGCAAUCAGCGUCAGUAACAAGUAAAUAAUCAUUUACAACUUUCAACAACGGAUCUCUUGGUUCUGGCAUCGAUGAAGAACGCAGCGAAAUGCGAUACGUAGUGUGAAUUGCAGAAUUCAGUGAAUCAUCGAAUCUUUGAACGCACAUUGCGCCCUUUGGUAUUCCAAAGGGCAUGCCUGUUCGAGCGUCAUUUGUACCCUCAAGCUUUGCUUGGUGUUGGGCGUUUUUGUCUUUGGCUACAGCCCGAAGACUCGCCUUAAAACGAUUGGCAGCCGGCCUACUGGUUUCGCAGCGCAGCACAUUUUUGCGCUUGCAAUCAGCAAAAGAGGUUGGCGAUCCAUCAAGUCUUACUUUCUCACUUUUGACCUCGGAUCAGGUAGGGAUACCCGCUGAACUUAAGCAUAUCA